CGCUGCGAGUCACUGCGUCUUUCGAGGUCGCCGCUUUCGGCGAAGAGCGAAGCACUUCUCGAAAGAGACAGCGGCAGCGGACUGUACGCGGCGGGACAAGCGUGAUCAACCGGCCGUGUCCUCCUCGUCGCCGAGUGCCAUUGUCGUUCCGGUCGAGUAAAAUUGCUUAUCUGACGCCCGGCGAAGGCCGCAAAUGAGGAAAGCCGGACGCCGCAGCUGACGGCGGAGACUGCACGGACGAAAGAAAUCCUGACCGACUGCGCUGCCAGAAGCCAGCGGCCCGUCGUCGUUGUUUACCUCGUGCCGAGAGAACGCCCGCGUCUCAGCGAAGGAACGGCGCAUCAAAACUCGCACUGCGCUACGUUCUUUUUCCACGGCUUAUUUCUUGGCUUUCGAAGACGCAAAGAACCAGAUCCAGUCUGCACACCGUACAGUGCUGGAAGACCGGAGGCUACAAGGCAAGGCUGUCCGAAGUCCGGCCAACCAUCCCGCAAGGUUGAUCUCAAAGUGACUAUGGCACUUCGAGCAAGGACGACUAGGGGCUCGGCACGGAUAGACGAGCCGGGCAGCAGCGGCAACCACGUGAGCGCGCUGACCGAAGAGCGGCCGCGCAGGAGCCUCUCCUUGGCCAUCAAGGUGGCUAUCGUUAUUGCCGUGAUCGCCAUCAACCUGCUCAUCUACGCCAACCUGGAGUAUUUCAAGUCGGACAUACCAUUCAAGGACGACCAAUGAACUCUUCCUUCUCGUCACCGCUCUUUCGGUCACUGCUGUUGAGGACUCUAUGACGAAUCGUUUGAAAGCGAACGCUGUAGAGGCCUGCAGCGUGGUCACACAGGCGUGGCCACAGCAUUAAAUGAAAUACCAAUAAAAGUCAAGCAGGGGCGUAUUUUCCUGCGUUUAACGCAAUGUAUACGUUAAAAAAGCGUUCAAUAUCAUCGCACGUUCCGGAAAUAGAACAGCUUAGCGACUGACAUUACGCAGCUAUAGAUUACGCGCAUGAAGAUGAAUAAUACUUUUUCGUUCACGUUCCCAAUGGUGGCUAGAGUAUCUAUUCUAAAAGGAGAGCCGGCUAUCGUGUAGGUGAGCGUAUUCUUCAUUUGUGCAAUUUUAAAACAAAGUGUUGCUCGAGUUGCCAAGACGCUAUACUCGCGGACAACUUUCUGGCUAUCAAGGGAAAGCUACGGAGGCAAAGCGCGCAAAAGUGAGAGCGCUUCUGCAAAGAGUCCAUGUUAGAUUAACCUGGGGAAGAGAAAACAUAAACACCUUAUUAGCAACAGUUAAAUAAGGCCAAACACAUUACUGAAUGUAAAAGCUUACUUAUUUUGCGGCUUUUCCCUUCUGCAAACGGCAAACCGUCGCACGGGGAAGCUGCGCCGAUUCAGCGUCUGUUCCGAGCAACCAAAAAGCACUGUCAAACGCUGCCGGAGUACUUCGCGCGGUAACCCAUGUGUUAAGCUCCGCCCGGUAGCUUUUCCUUCAUAGCCACAGAAAGUUAUCCGCCAGUAUACCAGUACGCUGCGAAAGAGAGAGAGAGAGAAAUAAACUUUACUGCUAGACCAGGCUUCUUGAGCACAGAAGUGGGUGGCCCCCUCAGUCCAGGUAGCCAUGGCUCGCUGCCGCCGCCCGAGCCCUGUUCACCAACCGUAUAGCUGGUUGUCAGGGUCUUGCGUCAGCAGCACGGUUUCCCACUGGUCUUCGAAUUCUUCCUCUGAAUUCACUUCUUCCUGCAUGUUAUCGCCUGAUGGGGAUGGUGACGGUGCUACUUCUCGGUUAUUCCUGCCCCCAGUACCAUAUGUCGCAAAGUGUUGGCUGUGGCCGGAGGGCAGAACUUGCAGUCCGUACAGAUGGUGAACCAGCGAAGCUAAAACAUGCGCCCCUGUGUUUAUGAGUGGGCUAAUCCCGGUGGUUCAUUAAAGUGUUUCUUAAUUAUUG
Molecule: long non-coding RNA, 1932 nt
Organism: Dermacentor andersoni
Lineage: Eukaryota; Metazoa; Arthropoda; Arachnida; Ixodida; Ixodidae
Source: RefSeq, a predicted model, not a curated record